GAUCCUGGCUCAGAAUCAACGCUGGCGGCGUGCCUAACACAUGCAAGUCGAACGAGAAAGUGGAGCAAUCCAUGAGUAAAGUGGCGCACGGGUGAGUAACACGUGACUAACCUACCCUUGAGUGGGGGAUAACCUCGGGAAACCUUGGCUAAUACCGCAUAACACCUACGGGUCAAAGGAGCAAUUCGCUUAAGGAGGGGGUCGCGGCAGAUUAGUUAGUUGGCAGGGUAAUGGCCUACCAAGACAGUGAUCUGUAUCCGGCCUGAGAGGGCGCACGGACACACUGGAACUGAAACACGGUCCAGACUCCUACGGGAGGCAGCAGUGGGGAAUUUUGCGCAAUGGGGGAAACCCUGACGCAGCAACGCCGCGUGGAGGAUGAAGUCCCUUGGGACGUAAACUCCUUUCGACCGGGACGAUAAUGACGGUACCGGAAGAAGAAGCCCCGGCUAACUUCGUGCCAGCAGCCGCGGUAAUACGAGGGGGGGCGAGCGUUGUUCGGAAUUAUUGGGCGUAAAGGGUGCGUAGGCGGUUCGGUAAGUUUCGUGUGAAAUCUUCGGGCUCAACUCGAAGUCUGCACGAGAUACUGCCGGGCUUGAGUGUGGGAGAGGUGAGUGGAAUUUCCGGUGUAGCGGUGAAAUGCGUAGAUAUCGGAAGGAACACCUGUGGCGAAAGCGGCUCACUGGACCA
This 690-nucleotide ribosomal RNA is filed under the name uncultured Acidobacteriota bacterium. RNAcentral's name for it is "bacterial SSU rRNA". It matches the Rfam family "Bacterial small subunit ribosomal RNA", at positions 15 to 736 of the family's 1533-position model. Lineage: Bacteria; Pseudomonadati; Acidobacteriota. The record is from RNAcentral.